Long non-coding RNA from Homo sapiens (human), 3473 nucleotides. RefSeq lists it as uncharacterized. The transcript has 4 exons. The record is from RefSeq and is a predicted model, not a curated record. Lineage: Eukaryota; Metazoa; Chordata; Mammalia; Primates; Hominidae.
UGUCAAAAAAAAAAAAAAAAAAAAAAAAAAAAAAACUCCAAAAAGUAAGUAAAGAGGAGGUUUGGAAUUAGAUAUUUGGUGUAUGAAUGAAUGGGCUAAAGUGCAAAAGAACAGGCAGAAUAACUGAGCUGGUACAGAGGAAAAAAAUCACACUUAAAAUCUAAAAAUAUCUGCUUCUCAAUUUGGGCUUUCCCACUUAGCAGCUUUGGCACCUUAGAAAGAACACUUAACUUACCUGAGCUUCUAUUACUUCUAAAAAGUGCAUAAAGUGCAGGCUAAGACAUAGUUUUUUGGCAAAAUUCAGUCAGACUACAUCAAGUAAACUCCCUAAGUCUCCUAGUAUAAUUCAUGGCACAAAAACUGGGGAAAAAACAGGGAGGAUAUGAUUAUAAGUUCAGUUUGUGUUUUUUGUUGAGUGAAUGUCUCCAGCCAUAGAGAUGCAAGUGUAGAUACACAGUAAGAGUAGUAUGAAUGGCAGACACCUUGGAAGGCUAUUUCUUCCUUCAUUCAUUCAGUUGGUCACUCAAUGAACUAUCAUGAAUUGAGCACUACCUCUGUUUCUUAUCAACAAAGGAGACUACGGAAAAGAAGAGUGACUAAGAUCUCUGAAGAAGGGAAAAGCUAGAUGACUGGGCCACAAGAGGAAAAAAAGCAGCAAGACAGAGAUUUGUUGGUGCCAACUAAAUGAGCCUAACAGCCAGUGACAACAGAACUGCACUAAAAAAAGUCCCUCAUCAGCUCUUGAGAGCAGGUUCCUUAAAGAGAAUGAGUAGCCACUGCACCUUGCCCUGGGCCAUCAGUGAGAAGAUCUGCUCUUAGUAGAGCCCUGCUUUCCCGCUGAAGGCCCUGAAAUCCCCUGUGUUCCAGGCCACCCACUAAGGAUCAGUAAAGCUCCCCUGAUGUGGGGGAAUUAGCGCAAGUGGUAGAGUGCUUGCUUAGCAUGCAAGAGGUAGUGGGAUCGAUGCCCACAUUCUCCAAACUUUAUUAUUUAGACCCUGGGUCUCCAAACACUCAGGUCUCCAAACCCAAGUCAGAGAGCAGGAUGCUGCUUUGGUUCAAGAUGUAGGAGCAGCAACAAUACAGGGCUGGUGACAGCUCCCUCCUGGCAUUCAGUAUAGUGUAGAUCUACCGUGUAAUUGAUUUUCUGCUUCUUUGAGGAGCUGUGAAACCAAGGGACAUAAACAAUUGCUCUUUUCUCCCUGUUUCUGCCUGUAGCUUGAAUGUGAGGCAACUGUGAAAAGUGCAGGGCAGAGCCACCUGGGUAAAUACAGCCCUGGCUUUCUGGUGAGAGGACUGAAACCAGGAUGUGUCAAGUAACUAGAAUGUGCCUGGACAGAUACUGUAGAAAGCAAACCCAUAAAGUUGUUCAUGAGCUUGUGGAUGCACCUGCCAGCUGUGAAUAAGUGGCUCUAAUCCCAAACAACUUACCUAAAAAGAGCCUGAGGACUGAACUGAACAAUGGUCCACUUUCCAGUCCUCACUGACCACUGGUUGCACACACUCCAGAGAUCUCUCAACCGCAGUGUCAAGGCUUUCAAAUAGAGUUAUCUGUGAAACGACAACACAUGGAAGUCUGGUUGGUACUUGGAGCUUAAAUACAAGGCAACUGUGUGCCUGCAAAAACAAAAAUAUCAAUAUUAUCCUUAAGAUUUCAACAAGACACAGUGUCUCAUCACAUAAUCCAAAGAAGUCCAGGUUACAAGCCCCAAAAUAUUCAGCAUUAUGAAAAACCAGGGAGAUCUUAACUCACAUGGCAAAGAGAAUCCUUGAAUAACAAUAUUGAGAGGACACAUAUGUCAAAAUCAUCUGACACAUACAUUAAAGCAGUUAUUAUAACAAUGCUCCUAGAAUUACGGGAUAGCAUUCAUGAAGUGAAUGGAAAGUUGGAAAGUCUCACCAAAUAUUUGGAAUAUGUAAACACCAAUUUAAACUUAAGAAUUAAAAAAAGUAUUAACCAAAACUAUUAGGGGAAAUAAAAUGCUUAAUUGGAUGAUCUCAAUAGCAGUAUGCAAAAGACUAAGGAAAGAGUCAAUGAACUUGAAAACAGAACAAGAAUACCUACAUAAUCUGACCUAUAGAAAGAAAGGAGGAUUUUAUUGUCCCUGAACAGAGGCUCAGGGACAAAUAAAAAAUAACAAAUCUAACAUUCACAUUAUUGUAAUCUGGAAACAUUCACAUUAUUGUAAGAGGACAAAGAGGUCUUUGUGGGAUAAAACUGUGAAGAAUUAAUGGCUGAAAAUAUAUCAAAUUUGUCAAAAGAUAUAAACCAGAUUUUUAAAGUUCAGUAAAUGUCAAGCAGGAUAAACCAAGAGAAACCCAUUGCAAGACAUAUCAUAAUCAAACUGCGGAAAAUUAAGAAAAUACAAAACAAUUUUGAAAGCAGCCAAAGGGAAAUAAAAGAUAAAAUACCAAAUGAAUGAUUGUAGAUUUCUCAUCAGGAACCCAGGAGCCAGAAAAAAAUGUCAUAACAUUCAGUAAGUACCAAAGGAAAAAUACAUUAUCAACCCAGAAUGGUAUGUGGAGCAAAAGUAUCUUCCAGACAUAAAGGCAAAUAAAUACAUUCUCAUUGGAAGGUAAAUAAAUACAUUCUCAGUCCUAGCAAAACUGCUGGAAAAGAAUUAGCAAAGGUUUGAGAUAAGAAAAGUGAUACCAGAAGGAAACUUAGAACAUCAUCAGUGAAGGAACAAAAGCAGAAAUAGAAAAUGUCUGGGUAGACAUAACAGACUAUUAUUCUUCUCUUGAGUUCCUUAAGAGAAUGAGUAGCCACUGCUGUUUGCCCUGGCCCAUCAAUGAGAAGAUCUGCUCUUAGAGCCCUGCUUUCCUGCUGAAGGCCCCGAAAUCACCUGUGUUCCAGGCCACCCGCUAACAAUAAAUAAUGCUCCCCUGAUGUGGGGAAUUAGCUCAAGUGGUAGAGCGCUUGCUUAGCAUGCAAGAGGUAGUGGGAUCGAUGCCCACAUUCUCCAAGCUUUAUUAUUUAGACAUCGUGUCUCCAAACACUCAGGUCUCCAAACCCAAGUUAGUGUCUGAGAACAGGAUGCUGCUUUGGUUCAAGACGUAGGAGCAGCAAUAAUAGAGGGCUGGUGAUGGCUCCCUCUUGGCAUUCAGUAUAGUGUAGAUCUACCAUGUAAUUAAUUCUCUGUUUCUUUGAGGAGCUGUGAAACCAAGGGACAUAUACAACUGCUCUUUUCUCCCUGUUUCUACCUGCAGCUUUGUCCUAAAUGUGAGACAAUUAUGAAAAGUGCAGGGCAGAGCCACUUGGGUAAAUACAGCCCCGGCUUUCUGCUCAGGGGACAGAGUUUGAGGCACUGCAGAGGAACCAGCCAAAGUAUGAGACCCAUAUGUUGAGAGUGACAGUGUAAAGUUCAAAAAAAUCAAAAUGUUUAAAGAUUUAUCAUGGGUCUUGAUGACAUGAUGGAAUCUCUCUACUCUCUGGACUGAUUAUGUGUGGUAAUAAAUUUACUUUUUAAAAGCCA